UUCUGCUCAAGGCAGAGGUCUUCCCUUAUCCAGAGAUUGGAAAUGAAGAACUGCAGGAGCUCAAGCAGCUUGUUGCACCGGUGGAAAAAUUCUUCAGUGAAGAAGUUGACUCAGCAAAGAUUGACAGAGAAGCCAAAAUCCCUCCAGAGACUUUGAAUGGGCUGAAGGAGCUUGGGCUGUUUGGAAUCAUGAUUCCUGAGGAGUAUGGCGGUCUCGGAUUGUCCAACACCAUGUAUGCGCGACUGGCAGAGAUCAUCUCAUUAGAUGGCUCUAUCGCAGUAACACUGGCAACACAUCAAGCUCUUGCACUGAAGGGGAUUCUGAUAGCGGGAAGUGAAGCCCAGAAGCAGAAGUAUCUGCCCAAACUGGCCUCUGGAGAACACAUAGCAGCUUUCUGUCUGACGGAGCC
Molecule: long non-coding RNA, 409 nt
Organism: Monopterus albus (swamp eel)
Lineage: Eukaryota; Metazoa; Chordata; Actinopteri; Synbranchiformes; Synbranchidae
Exons: 4
Source: RefSeq, a predicted model, not a curated record